UACGUAGGGGGCGAGCGUUGUCCGGAUUUAUUGGGCGUAAAGAGCGUGUAGGCGGCCAGGUAGGUCUGCUGUGAAAACUCGAGGCUCAACCUCGAGACGUCGGCGGAAACCAUCUGGCUAGAGUCCGGAAGAGGAGAGUGGAAUUCCUGGUGUAGCGGUGAAAUGCGCAGAUAUCAGGAGGAACACCAGUAGCGAAGGCGGCUCGCUGGGCCAUUCCUGACGCUGAGACGCGAAAGCUAGGGGAGCGAACAGG
RNAcentral lists this ribosomal RNA (253 nucleotides) under uncultured bacterium. Its description in RNAcentral is "partial 16S ribosomal RNA". It matches the Rfam family "Bacterial small subunit ribosomal RNA", at positions 524 to 776 of the family's 1533-position model. The record is from RNAcentral.